UACGUAGGGGGCAAGCGUUAUCCGGAUUUACUGGGUGUAAAGGGAGCGUAGACGGCAUAGCAAGUCUGAAGUGAAAGCCCGUGGCUCAACCGCGGAACUGCUUUGGAAACUGUUAAGCUGGAGUACUGGAGAGGCAGGCGGAAUUCCUAGUGUAGCGGUGAAAUGCGUAGAUAUUAGGAGGAACACCAGUGGCGAAGGCGGCUUGCUGGACAGAGACUGACGUUGAGGCUCGAAAGCGUGGGGAGCAAACAGG
This 253-nucleotide ribosomal RNA is filed under the name uncultured bacterium. RNAcentral describes it as "partial 16S ribosomal RNA". It matches the Rfam family "Bacterial small subunit ribosomal RNA", at positions 524 to 776 of the family's 1533-position model. The record is from RNAcentral.